AAAACAUCUUUUCUUGAUUAAUUAAAUAAGAGAUUUAACCUGCUCUAUGAUUAUUAUUUAAUGGCCGCGGUAUUUUGACUGUGCAAAGGUAGCAUAAUAAUUAGUUUAUUAAUUGUGGACUUGUAUGAAUGGUUGGACGAAAUAUUGACUGUCUCGUUUUAAUUUAUUUAUAAUUUAAAAUUUGAGUUAAAAUGCUUAAAUUUUUUUAAAGGACGAGAAGACCCUAUAGAUCUUUAUUUAUUUGAUUAUUUAUUUGUUUUUAGUUUAUUUAUUGUUUAUAAUUUCUUAUUUUUGGUUGGGGUGACAUGGAGAACGGAUAUAACUCUUUAUUUUUGUAUACAUUUAUUUAUGUAUAGUUGACUUUUUAUUAUUGUUAUAAGAUUUAGAUACCUUAGGGAUAACAGCGUAAUUCUUUUUGAGAGCUCUAAUCGACAAAGGAGAUUGCGACCUCGAUGUUGGAUUAAGAUUAUAAUUAGGUGUAGUUAUUUAGUUAUUAGGUCUGUUCGACCUUUAAUUUCUUACA
Molecule: ribosomal RNA, 523 nt
Filed under: Extatosoma popa
Lineage: Eukaryota; Metazoa; Arthropoda; Insecta; Phasmatodea; Phasmatidae
Description: partial 16S ribosomal RNA
Rfam family: Bacterial large subunit ribosomal RNA (bases 397-523)
Source: RNAcentral